GGUUAAGCGACUAAGCGUACACGGUGGAUGCCCUGGCAGUCAGAGGCGAUGAAGGGCGUGCUAAUCUGCGAUAAGCGCCGGUAAGGUGAUAUGAACCGUUAUAACCGGCGAUACCCGAAUGGGGAAACCCAGUGUGAUUCGUCACACUAUCAUUAACUGAAUCCAUAGGUUAAUGAGGCGAACCGGGGGAACUGAAACAUCUAAGUACCCCGAGGAAAAGAAAUCAACCGAGAUUCCCCCAGUAGCGGCGAGCGAACGGGGAGGAGCCCAGAGCCUGAAUCAGCAUGUGUGUUAGUGGAAGCGUCUGGAAAGGCGCGCGAUACAGGGUGACAGCCCCGUACACAAAAGCGCAUGUGCUGUGAGCUCGAUGAGUAGGGCGGGACACGUGGUAUCCUGUCUGAAUAUGGGGGGACCAUCCUCCAAGGCUAAAUACUCCUGACUGACCGAUAGUGAACCAGUACCGUGAGGGAAAGGCGAAAAGAACCCCGGCGAGGGGAGUGAAAAAGAACCUGAAACCGUGUACGUACAAGCAGUGGGAGCACAGGUUUACCUGUGUGACUGCGUACCUUUUGUAUAAUGGGUCAGCGACUUAUAUUCUGUAGCAAGGUUAACCGUAUAGGGGAGCCGGAGGGAAACCGAGUCUUAAUUGGGCGUUAAGUUGCAGGGUAUAGACCCGAA
RNAcentral lists this ribosomal RNA (678 nucleotides) under Salmonella enterica. Its description in RNAcentral is "partial 23S ribosomal RNA". It matches the Rfam family "Bacterial large subunit ribosomal RNA", at positions 1 to 719 of the family's 2925-position model. The record is from RNAcentral. Lineage: Bacteria; Pseudomonadati; Pseudomonadota; Gammaproteobacteria; Enterobacterales; Enterobacteriaceae.